UACGGGGGGUGCAAGCGUUGUCCGGAAUUAUUGGGCGUAAAGAGCUCGUAGGCGGCUUGUCGCGUCGGCUGUGAAAACUCGGGGCUCAACCCCGAGCCUGCAGUCGAUACGGGCAGGCUAGAGUCCGGCAGGGGAGACUGGAAUUCCUGGUGUAGCGGUGAAAUGCGCAGAUAUCAGGAGGAACACCGGUGGCGAAGGCGGGUCUCUGGGCCGGAACUGACGCUAAGGAGCGAAAGCGUGGGGAGCGAACAGG
Molecule: ribosomal RNA, 253 nt
Filed under: uncultured bacterium
Lineage: Bacteria
Description: partial 16S ribosomal RNA
Rfam family: Bacterial small subunit ribosomal RNA
Source: RNAcentral